This 958-nucleotide ribosomal RNA is filed under the name Klebsiella pneumoniae IS10. RNAcentral describes it as "LSU rRNA". It matches the Rfam family "Bacterial large subunit ribosomal RNA", at positions 1973 to 2925 of the family's 2925-position model. Lineage: Bacteria; Pseudomonadati; Pseudomonadota; Gammaproteobacteria; Enterobacterales; Enterobacteriaceae. The record is from RNAcentral.
CGGGUAAGUUCCGACCUGCACGAAUGGCGUAAUGAUGGCCAGGCUGUCUCCACCCGAGACUCAGUGAAAUUGAACUCGCUGUGAAGAUGCAGUGUACCCGCGGCAAGACGGAAAGACCCCGUGAACCUUUACUAUAGCUUGACACUGAACAUUGAGCCUUGAUGUGUAGGAUAGGUGGGAGGCUUUGAAGCGUGGACGCCAGUCUGCGUGGAGCCAACCUUGAAAUACCACCCUUUAAUGUUUGAUGUUCUAACGUUGGCCCCUGACCGGGGUUGCGGACAGUGUCUGGUGGGUAGUUUGACUGGGGCGGUCUCCUCCCAAAGCGUAACGGAGGAGCACGAAGGUUAGCUAAUCCUGGUCGGACAUCAGGAGGUUAGUGCAAUGGCAUAAGCUAGCUUGACUGCGAGCGUGACGGCGCGAGCAGGUGCGAAAGCAGGUCAUAGUGAUCCGGUGGUUCUGAAUGGAAGGGCCAUCGCUCAACGGAUAAAAGGUACUCCGGGGAUAACAGGCUGAUACCGCCCAAGAGUUCAUAUCGACGGCGGUGUUUGGCACCUCGAUGUCGGCUCAUCACAUCCUGGGGCUGAAGUAGGUCCCAAGGGUAUGGCUGUUCGCCAUUUAAAGUGGUACGCGAGCUGGGUUUAGAACGUCGUGAGACAGUUCGGUCCCUAUCUGCCGUGGGCGCUGGAGAAUUGAGGGGGGCUGCUCCUAGUACGAGAGGACCGGAGUGGACGCAUCACUGGUGUUCGGGUUGUCAUGCCAAUGGCACUGCCCGGUAGCUAAAUGCGGAAGAGAUAAGUGCUGAAAGCAUCUAAGCACGAAACUUGCCCCGAGAUGAGUUCUCCCUGAGACUUUAAGUCUCCUGAAGGAACGUUGAAGACGACGACGUUGAUAGGCCGGGUGUGUAAGCGCAGCGAUGCGUUGAGCUAACCGGUACUAAUGAACCGUGAGGCUUAACCUU